AUACGGAGGGUGCGAGCGUUACUCGGAGUCACUGGGCGUAAGGCGUCCGUAGGCGGUCGGGUAAGUCGGGUGUGAAAGCCCCGGGCUCAACCUGGGAAGUGCACCCGAUACUGCUCGACUCGAGUGCGGGAGAGGAUGGCGGAAUUCCCGGUGUAGCGGUGAAAUGCGUAGAGAUCGGGAGGAACACCAGUGGCGAAGGCGGCCAUCUGGCCCGCAACUGACGCUGAGGGACGAAAGCGUGGGGAGCAAACAGGAUUAGAAACCCUAGUAGUCC
RNAcentral lists this ribosomal RNA (274 nucleotides) under uncultured bacterium. Its description in RNAcentral is "partial 16S ribosomal RNA". It matches the Rfam family "Bacterial small subunit ribosomal RNA", at positions 523 to 796 of the family's 1533-position model. The record is from RNAcentral.